GAUGAACGCUAGCUACAGGCUUAACACAUGCAAGUCGAGGGCAGCAGGGAUUUAGCUUGCUAAAUUCGCUGGCGACCGGCGCACGGGUGCGUAACGCGUAUCCAACCUUCCCGUUAUCUGGGAUAGCCUUCCGAAAGGGGAGAUUAAUACCGGAUGGUGUUUCAAGUUCGCAUGUAAUUGAAACUAAAGAUUUAUCGGUAACGGAUAGGCUCGCGUGACAUUAGCUAGAUGGCGGGGUAACGGCCCACCAUGGCGACGAUGUCUAGGGGUUCUGAGAGGAAGGUCCCCCACACUGGAACUGAGACACGGUCCAGACUCCUACGGGAGGCAGCAGUGAGGAAUAUUGGUCAAUGGUCGGAAGACUGAACCAGCCAAGUAGCGUGAAGGAUGAAGGUUCUAUGGAUUGUAAACUUCUUUUAUACGGGAAUAAAACCUCCCACGUGUGGGAGCUUGUAUGUACCGUAUGAAUAAGCAUCGGCUAACUCCGUG
This 489-nucleotide ribosomal RNA is filed under the name uncultured bacterium. RNAcentral describes it as "bacterial SSU rRNA". It matches the Rfam family "Bacterial small subunit ribosomal RNA", at positions 28 to 507 of the family's 1533-position model. The record is from RNAcentral.